RNAcentral lists this ribosomal RNA (468 nucleotides) under uncultured bacterium. Its description in RNAcentral is "partial 16S ribosomal RNA". It matches the Rfam family "Bacterial small subunit ribosomal RNA", at positions 28 to 507 of the family's 1533-position model. The record is from RNAcentral.
GACGAACGCUGGCGGCGUGCUUAACACAUGCAAGUCGAACGGAAAGGCCCUGCUUUUGUGGGGUGCUCGAGUGGCGAACGGGUGAGUAACACGUGAGUAACCUGCCCUUGACUUUGGGAUAACUUCAGGAAACUGGGGCUAAUACCGGAUAGGAGCUCCUGCUGCAUGGUGGGGGUUGGAAAGUUUCGGCGGUUGGGGAUGGACUCGCGGCUUAUCAGCUUGUUGGUGGGGUAGUGGCUUACCAAGGCUUUGACGGGUAGCCCGCCUGAGAGGGUGACCGGCCACAUUGGGACUGAGAUACGGCCCAGACUGCUACGGGAGGCAGCAGGGGGGAAUAUUGCACAAUGGGCGGAAGCCUGAUGCAGCAACGCCGCGUGCGGGAUGACGGCCUUCGGGUUGUAAACCGCUUUCGCCUGUGACGAAGCGUGAGUGACGGUAAUGGGUAAAGAAGCACCGGCUAACUACGUG